Molecule: ribosomal RNA, 253 nt
Filed under: uncultured bacterium
Lineage: Bacteria
Description: partial 16S ribosomal RNA
Rfam family: Bacterial small subunit ribosomal RNA
Source: RNAcentral
UACGAAGGGGGCUAGCGUUGUUCGGAAUUACUGGGCGUAAAGCGCACGUAGGCGGAAUGUUAAGUCAGGGGUGAAAUCCCGGGGCUCAACCCCGGAACUGCCUUUGAUACUGGCAUUCUCGAGUCCGGAAGAGGUGAGUGGAAUUCCGAGUGUAGAGGUGAAAUUCGUAGAUAUUCGGAGGAACACCAGUGGCGAAGGCGGCUCACUGGCCCGGAACUGACGCUGAGGUGCGAAAGCGUGGGGAGCAAACAGG